Molecule: non-coding RNA, 95 nt
Organism: Clostridium sp. DMHC 10
Lineage: Bacteria; Bacillati; Bacillota; Clostridia; Eubacteriales; Clostridiaceae
Source: Rfam
AAUGGUGGGAACAAAGAGAUGCAAGACCGCAAGGUGGAGCCAAACUCAAAAACCCAUCCCAGUUCGGAUUGUAGCUGAAACUCGCCUACAUGAAG